RNAcentral lists this small RNA (415 nucleotides) under Fusarium verticillioides. RNAcentral describes it as "eukaryotic LSU rRNA". The stretch from base 47 to 200 matches the Rfam family "5.8S ribosomal RNA". Lineage: Eukaryota; Fungi; Ascomycota; Sordariomycetes; Hypocreales; Nectriaceae. The record is from RNAcentral.
UCGUGUUUCUAUAUGUAACUUCUGAGUAAAACCAUAAAUAAAUCAAAACUUUCAACAACGGAUCUCUUGGUUCUGGCAUCGAUGAAGAACGCAGCAAAAUGCGAUAAGUAAUGUGAAUUGCAGAAUUCAGUGAAUCAUCGAAUCUUUGAACGCACAUUGCGCCCGCCAGUAUUCUGGCGGGCAUGCCUGUUCGAGCGUCAUUUCAACCCUCAAGCCCAGCUUGGUGUUGGGACUCGCGAGUCAAAUCGCGUUCCCCAAAUUGAUUGGCGGUCACGUCGAGCUUCCAUAGCGUAGUAGUAAAACCCUCGUUACUGGUAAUCGUCGCGGCCACGCCGUUAAACCCCAACUUCUGAAUGUUGACCUCGGAUCAGGUAGGAAUACCCGCUGAACUUAAGCAUAUCAAUAAGCGGAGGAA